This 5202-nucleotide long non-coding RNA is filed under the name Daucus carota (carrot). RNAcentral's name for it is "long non-coding RNA (DCAR_LNC003535)". The record is from RNAcentral. Lineage: Eukaryota; Viridiplantae; Streptophyta; Magnoliopsida; Apiales; Apiaceae.
GGUUAUUUGUGCAAUUAUGUGUUAUGUGUUUAUCUGCCUAUGUGGUAUGUAUAUGCGAAGGGUAGAUAUAUAUAGGUCUUAAUACUUUUCAGAGUUAGUUAAUUUGUCUGAUCCGACGGUUAAAAUACUAUUUUACUAUCGUAUAGAAUUGAAGACAUUGACCGAGGCAUUGAUCGAGAAGUGAUUGAAAUGGGUAUCCAGAAUUAGCCAAGUAGUGUUGCAAGUUGAAGUAGGGCGGAGAUUUGUUAUAGAUAAAAGCUUGUCAGAAGCUGGCAGAAAGGAAUGAUAUGGCGGUAUAUAGUAUUAUUAGAAAUCUGACCUAGACACCGGAGUUAAGGCAAGUACUUCUACCUUUCUCUCGCAAUUUAGAAGCAAGUAUUUCUACCCUACUCCUCUAGUACCUAUAGAUACUAAAACCUUCUUUAUAUCAUGAUUCAAAUUAUUUGCAAUUACUUUCUUGUGAAGCAUAUCUAGUACUUUUAAACCUUUUGGUUGAACGGAUAACACUUUUGGUAUCGACUCUACACUAUGAUAUGCAUAAAGAAAUUGUUUUAACAAAAUGUUGUUCUGGCUCUUGAAUUACAUGAUAGAACUGCAGAUUGUUUUAAAAAUUAAACUGUUAGGUUGUUUUUGCGUAAGAGGCUCGGGCACCGGCCCAGCGUGAAAGGUGGCUCCUUAAGCCCGGAUUACCGGAAUUCGUAAUAUUUGUCAACCUUGCUGAAUAAGCUUGGUUUAUGGACUAUAGCAUGACUGAUCAUCUGUUAUAGCCAGGUGUCCAAUUAUUUUUAAAGCCCAAUAAAAUUGUGAAUAGUUUAAAAAGAAGUUACCCUGCCUUCAAGAGAUAUUUGCUUAUACAUUCAUUUCUGCAGUUUUAAAUAUUUUCACUUCUUUAUUAUGGCAUUGCUGUACAACAAAUAUCAAUUUCAUUUUGUUAUUCUUGCUGAGCAUUAUUGCUCAUUCUUGCUAUUCCUUCUAACCCUUUUCAGCUAGGAAUAAAGAUGAUUCACUUAAGACUAGGCAAGGAUUGCAAGUGGUUGAGUUUCAAGCAGAUGGACAGGUAGAGUAUUUAGGACGAUGUCAUUAAGACUAGAUGCAGUUGGAGUUCUGCAAUUCAAUUCAGUUGGAAAUUAGAUUUGUUUAUUUGGUUAUCAGCUACUCUUCUUAUCGAGGUUUAGCUGAUAAUGUUGUUUAAUUUGUAAAUAAGAUUUUAUAGUUUUAGUUUCUGAUUUCAAUGCUGUAGCCUGUAUGCGAUCCUGUUUUCAGGGGGUGAAAUUGAUUUUGAAUUAAAGACCUUCUUUUAAAAAAAUAAUAUAUCCAGGUUUAGAAAUACUUGUUUUUACUUUCUUCCAAAAAUACAGGUUUUAAAUUGUUUUUCUUUUAAUGGCUCAAAACUACAGGUUUUAAAUUAUUUUUAUUUACACGUGGCACCAGAUCUAGACCCCCGGAUUUGAGGGAUGUCACAGUUGGUAUCAGAGCUACAGGUUAUAAGUUAUUGAAAUCAGAAUGUAGGUUGUAACUUGUCUAAUAAGAUAGACACGUUAAGUGAAACCUCACAUAUAGGUAAGUUCAGAUUAGUGGUGUAACCUCAUAUAGAGGUAUCGUAAGACUAUUUGGGGAUAGUCCUUUUGAGCAUAAUAAAAUGAAGCUAAACGAUUAUGUUUAAGUGAUUAUGGUUAUAGACACAACAAUUCCUAAUUCUAGUUCUUCCAGUCCCUAGUGGCCUAGUUUAUUGACCAAUUCAGAUUUAUAUCAUUGUAAGAGGGUCAAAGUUAGACCUAUCAACAGAACCUUCAAGCUAGAACCAGUAGAGAUUCUCACACAGUCUAAUGUAUCCUUUAUAGUAUCUUCCAAGUGUUGAGUAUUAUUUGAAGAGUCACCUUUUGAUUCUUGUCAGAGAUAUCUAGAAUUGGUGAAAGAAUAGAGGUGUUAACAAGUCCGAGUUUACAGCUUUGUAUAUAGUUAAGUAGUGAGCGUUAGAGCUACGUAGAGUUCGUGUUAGAUUAUUCGAUCUAGUACUUAUGUGUGAGUUAAGACGUCAACGCUCUAUGGUGAUGAUUGUAUAAAGUUGGAUAAGACUUUUGACCGACAACGAUAUCAAUGAUGGGAUCUUCAGAGGCUAUUACUAGUCAACGAUAAUAUAUGCAAGUGGUCACUAAAACGUCAAGAAGAAUCACUAGAAUCAGAACGAGUCAUCAAAAGAAUCGAUCAAGAAGACAUCUGUGAGAAUCCUGGCAAUACCUUCCUCAUUGUUGAUAUAUUGAUUUCUUUCCCCAUCAAUGAUUUGUUCUGACAUCACUUAAAAAAAAAAAUAUUUGAUAAAGAGUAUAUUUUUACCUUUCACUCGAGUUCUCGAAUGAUACUUGUGCUUACUGUCAGACCUAUAGAAUCUAUUCAAUCUUGGUAAUUUCGAACCCUUUCAUAUUCUCUACUCUAACUGAGAUGAACAACCCUACCUAUAGGGGACACAAGGACUACCUGUCUGUGUGAUAGGAGUUGGAUGGGACGCCAUCACUUGUGUGUGUUGUACAUUACAAGAAGGUUAACUACCUUUAGUAGUGUCUUAAAUUAGACACGCAACACCGAGUUCUAUAGACCAUAUUGAUCUCUCAGUUAUUCAUUUAUUUCAAUCACGUAACACUUGCUCCAAUAUGUGAAAUCUGUCAUAUCUUUUACCUUCAAGAUUCUUCUAAUCUCUAAUAGUUGGAGGUAUGCCAACCGAGUUGCCAAUAUGAAUUAAGACUUUGUAGUAAGAAGCACCAGGGAUGAAAGCGAAUGACAAUGCUGGUUAUAUCAGAAAGGAAUAUUAUGGAUUAUAGAGAUCGUACGCUCUAGUUUUCUUUUUGAUGAUUCCGAGGACGGAAUCUUUUUAAGGGGGGUAGAUUGUGACGACCCGGAUUUUCAGAAAUUAUUUUAUUAUUUUUAUUCAUGAUUAUUCGAGACAAAUGAGGAAUAAAUUUCAAUAUUUUAUUCUAGUUUGAUAAUUUUCAAAAAUAUUUGUUUAAAUUAUUUUCCUAGUCAUUGUGAUUAUGAGAAAAUAUCUGUUGAUUGUACAAUUAUAUGUUACGAGAUUUAAUUGAAUUAGUUGUCUACUAUUAUGUCUGUGUGUGCAUUUAUUUUUACUUUUAAUAUUACUGUAUUGUUUUAUUGAAAUUUAUUAUCCUCUUAAAUGGAUAUUUAUUUUUGUAAAAAUACAAAGAUAAUUUCAAAAAUUAUUUUAAUUGCUCGAUAGUGAUCAUAAAUAUGUUUAGAAGUUUUUAAAAUAUUAAAAAUCCAAUUUCUACAAGGACAUGAUUUUUAAUUAGUUUCUAAACGCAGCUAACUUCUUAAUUUUGUAUAAAUUUUGAAAAUGCUCUAUAAAUCUUGAAACUUUUAUUUUAUGAGUUUUAUAAUAUUCGGUAAUUUAUAAAAUUAGUUUGUUAAUUUUUCGAGAAAGUUUUAAUGCGAGUUAUCCCGUAAAUCAACUAAAUAGCGGGUGUUUGGAUGAUUAUUCAGCUUAAAAUAAAACGUGGCAGCCUUUGGCCAAACCACGUGCCCUGCUUUUCACCACCGCCAUCCCUUUUCUUCAUUUUAUAUACAUCAGCCUCUCAAUCUCUCUCUCUCUCUCUCUGUGAAAUCCUCCAUCUCUCCCUCUCCGCUCCUCUUUCUUUUCUCACCCAUCUUCCUCUCUUUCUUGGCAUCACCGUCCCUUCCCUGCAGCCGCCGAAUUAUGCCGCUGCCACCUCUUUCCGGCGACCACCAUAGCCCUGCACCAAUUAUAAAUCAGUGGGUAUAAAGCUUAAUUUCUCUUUGUCAAAUCAGUUCUAUAUAAACGUAUAUAUACAUGUGGUGUUGUGUUUAUAUGGUUUAAUUUGAUUUAUAUAAUCGAUUUAUGUGUGCUUGUAUGUAUAUAAACUGAUUAUAUGCUGGUUAUUGAAAUUUGAAGGUUGAUUGAAUUUUUGAGAUUGAGAUUGGUGUUAGUAAUCGUAUGAUUGAAUUGUGUGCUUAAUUGAUAUUUGAAUUGGUUGUUGGAGGUUCAUUAUAAAUGGUGCGCCAACUAGUAGUGUAAUCGGAUGACUUGGGUACUUGAUUUAUGGGAAUAUAUAACUGAGUAUUAAAGCUUUAAGGUCUGAGAUUUUGUGUAAAUGUUUUCAGAAUGGUGUUUUAAGAGUUUAAGUAUUGAGCUAAAAAAAAUUUAGAUUUACACAUAAUCGGUUGAAUUGUAAGUUGCUGCUGAUCUGUUUUGCAGUAAAAUUCUGGGCUUCUAGAGUCGAAUUAUAUGCUUAAUAUUUUUGUGGUUAUGUGCUCCUCAGAGUCUAGUUUAUGUGCGCAAAAGAAUCGAAUCAAUUCGAUUAGCGAGCUAGGAGAUAUGACCGUUUUAGUAUAGUAUGGUGCUGAAAAUUCUGGGCAGGUUUGUCCUGUUCUAGGCUCUGUUUUACUGCUUUAAACUUGAAGUUUCUUUCUGAAAAUUUUACUGUAGGUUGGAAUAAUAUUCAGGAGUGUCUCAUAAAAAUUUUGUAUUUAAAAGAUAAAUUUUCAAUUUAUUAAAAAUCAUAGACCGAGGGCUGUUUGAACUAUUUGUUCUAGUUUUUCUUUCUUUGCUAGUGCAUAGUAUGAGGUUAUACUUGGCUAAUUGCAUAUGAUUGAUUAUUACAUUGAUUGGCUCGGUUAACCUUUAUAUCUAAUUAAACGUGCUUUGCGUAUAACAAAUUAGUAAUCCUGCUAAAAGAUUUUAUUAUAUGUUCACUACAAGUCAAGACAGAUUUUCUGUUCACUGCAAGCCAAGGGAUCUUUUUUUAUAUUAAUAAUUCAUGUGUUAGCAAUGGUAUUGGUUGGUUGUUGGUAUUGCAAACAGGUGGAUAGUCCGAUAAACAGAGGAGAUGAUGCCGAAUUUUCGUUAGGAAUUAUAUGUAUUUAAUGGCUAUAAAAAGGGGUUAUUUGUGCAAUUAUGUGUUAUGUGUUUAUCUGCCUAUGUGGUAUGUAUAUGCGAAGGGUAGAUAUAUAUAGGUCUUAAUACUUUUCAGAGUUAGUUAAUUUGUCUGAUCCGACGGUUAAAAUACUAUUUUACUAUCGUAUAGAAUUGAAGACAUUGACCGAGGCAUUGAUCGAGAAGUGAUUGAAAUGGGUAUCCAGAAUUAGCCAAGUAGUGUUGCAAGUUGAAGUAGGGCGGAGAUUUGUUAUAGAUAAAAGCUUGUCAGAAGCUGGCAGAAAGGAAUGAUAUGGCGG